This 231-nucleotide ribosomal RNA is filed under the name uncultured bacterium. Its description in RNAcentral is "partial 16S ribosomal RNA". It matches the Rfam family "Bacterial small subunit ribosomal RNA", at positions 103 to 334 of the family's 1533-position model. The record is from RNAcentral.
CGGGUGAGUAACACGUAUCCAACCUGCCGUCUACUCUUGGACAGCCUUCUGAAAGGAAGAUUAAUACAAGAUGGCAUCAUGAGUUCACAUGUUCACAUGAUUAAAGGUAUUCCGGUAGACGAUGGGGAUGCGUUCCAUUAGAUAGUAGGCGGGGUAACGGCCCAUCUAGUCUUCGAUGGAUAGGGGUUCUGAGAGGAAGGUCCCCCACAUUGGAACUGAGACACGGUCCAA